GAGGUAGUGACAAUAAAUCACAAUGCGGAACUUUUAGUUUUGCAAUUGGAUUGAGAACAAUGUACAAAUGUUAUCGAUAAACAAUUGGAGGGCAAGUCUGGUGCCAGCAGCCGCGGUAAUUCCAGCUCCAAUAGCGUAUAUUAACGUUGUUGCAGUUAAAAAGCUCGUAGUUGAAAUGUGGGAUGAAGUAUAUAAUGAAUUUCUAAUUCAAUUCUAUAUUGAUUCCCCUCUCCAAUUUAUUAUUAUGGGUAUUAAUUUAUUUGUAAUAAGAAUUGGUCAUUUACUGUGAGAAAAUUAGAGUGUUCAAAGCAGGCAUUUGCUUGAAUAGAUUAGCAUGGAAUAAUACUAAAAGGCUUUUAUGGUCGAUUUAAUUGGUUUGUUCAUAAAAGCAAGAUUAAAAGGAACAGUUGGGGGUAUUCAUAUUCAAUAGUUAGAGGUGAAAUUCUCGGAUUUAUGGAAGAUGAACAAGUGCGAAAGCA
This 479-nucleotide ribosomal RNA is filed under the name Blastocystis sp. 288.2. RNAcentral describes it as "SSU rRNA". It matches the Rfam family "Eukaryotic small subunit ribosomal RNA", at positions 461 to 953 of the family's 1831-position model. Lineage: Eukaryota; Bigyra; Opalinata; Blastocystidae. The record is from RNAcentral.